This 500-nucleotide ribosomal RNA is filed under the name uncultured Glomeromycotina. RNAcentral's name for it is "partial small subunit ribosomal RNA". It matches the Rfam family "Eukaryotic small subunit ribosomal RNA", at positions 591 to 1092 of the family's 1831-position model. Lineage: Eukaryota; Fungi; Glomeromycota. The record is from RNAcentral.
CCAAUAGCGUAUAUUAAAGUUGUUGCAGUUAAAAAGCUCGUAGUUGAAUUUCGGGGUCAAUACGUCGGUCGUGCCUUCGGUACGUACUGGUGUUAUUGAUCUCUCCCUUCUGAUGAAUCACGAUGUCAUUAAUUUGGUGUCGUGGGGAGUCAGGACUGUUACUUUGAAAAAAUUAGAGUGUUUAGAGCAGGCUCACGCUUGAAUACAUUAGCAUGGAAUAAUGAAAUAGGACGUUCGAUCCUAUUUUGUUGGUUUCUAGGAUCAACGUAAUGAUUAAUAGGGAUAGUUGGGGGCAUUAGUAUUCAAUUGUCAGAGGUGAAAUUCUUGGAUUUAUUGAAGACUAACUACUGCGAAAGCAUUUGCCAAGGAUGUUUUCAUUAAUCAAGAACGAAAGUUAGGGGAUCGAAGACGAUCAGAUACCGUCGUAGUCUUAACCAUAAACUAUGCCGACUAGGGAUCGGAUGAUGUUAAUUUUUUAAUGACUCAUUCGGCGCCUUACG